AACCAAAUUUUACAUGAUUAUAUUUUAUUUUGAAAUCUUCAAUAUAUUUCUUGGGUUUGUGUUUACAUAUUUGUAAAUGACCAUUACUUCUUGUUACUGCCUCCAGAUGGGCUACUCCCUAUAUAUUGUGGACUAUAUGGGAAGGCCCUGCCUAAAAGGGCUCUCAUUAAAGGCUGUUGGUUCGUGUACAUGAAAGAAGAGGAAUUCCAAGAGAGGGAUUAUACAAAAACAUGGCAUUGUUUAUUUUAAACAAGGUCAAGUGGUUACUGACGUGCCUUAAGAUUUAUUAAAAGAGAUUACCUGUAAUUACACCCUCAUGUGGGUAUGUGGAAAGGAACGUUUGAUUUAAAUGUCGCUGUCUAUUGCUGCAGUUGUUGUCAAAACUCCGUUGAUCCACUCGAUGUAAAUCAACUUGUGAGUGAAGGGUAUUUGCCUGCUAAUUUAGCAAAUACCCAACACCUCUUUUCUCAAGAUCUUCUCACCAAGUGGGAUUUACUUCAAUAGCACCUCCCUGGAUCAUCUGAAAGUGGUUUUCUCAGAUCUUUGGAAGAUUUCUCUAUUUUAAGAGGAAGGGCUGGUGUUAUAAAUGACUCUGCAUUUAAAGAAUGGAAGUCCUGCAACCAUGAGAUUAAUUUGCUACAAUUCAAGGACUUUAUGGUAUGCCCAGCCUGUGCUACCUAUCACCACUCAGCCCAUGUGGACAGCAAUGCCAAGUUGUAUCGUUACAAGUCAGCUGGAGAGUGAGAAACCUGUCAUUUAACUUGCAUUUAAUGUAUGUAAUUGUUUCUCCUAAAUAAGGACAACAAUUAUUAAUGGCCUUCUUUCCAGGUGGUUGGUAACAGUGAAGUAGCAUCUCAAAGUUGCACCUCUUUUAUCUUUUAUGCAUCGCUUCUCACUUGGAGGGCUAAUGAUGAAAGUUUUUGUUAUUUUUUGAAAGCCAUAAGCUAUUUUGUUGUAUUAAAUUAAUGUUCCAAAUUGUAAUUGAUAAUAGACAAGUAUUUUCUUGAUUUUUUUCUCCCUCCUUAUACACAUGUAAGUAAUUUCUUAUAGGUUGU
Molecule: long non-coding RNA, 1055 nt
Organism: Stylophora pistillata
Lineage: Eukaryota; Metazoa; Cnidaria; Anthozoa; Scleractinia; Pocilloporidae
Source: RefSeq, a predicted model, not a curated record